GACGAACGCUGGCGGCGUGCUUAACACAUGCAAGUCGAACGGUAAGGCCCUUCGGGGUACACGAGUGGCGAACGGGUGAGUAACACGUGGGUGAUCUGCCUUGCACUUCGGGAUAAGCUGGGAAACUGGGUCUAAUACCGGAUAGGACUCCGGACUGCAUGGUCUGGGGUGGAAAGCUUUUGCGGUGUGGGAUGGGCCCGCGGCUUAUCAGCUUGUUGGUGGGGUGCUGGCCUACCAAGGCGACGACGGGUAGCCGGCCUGAGAGGGUGACCGGCCACACUGGGACUGAGAUACGGCCCAGACUCCUACGGGAGGCAGCAGUGGGGAAUAUUGCACAAUGGGCGCAAGCCUGAUGCAGCGACGCCGCGUGAGGGAUGACGGCCUUCGGGUUGUAAACCUCUUUCAGCACAGACGAAGCGCAAGUGACGGUAUGUGCAGAAGAAGGACCGGCCAACUACGUGCCAGCAGCCGCCGUAA
Molecule: ribosomal RNA, 477 nt
Filed under: uncultured bacterium
Lineage: Bacteria
Description: partial 16S ribosomal RNA
Rfam family: Bacterial small subunit ribosomal RNA
Source: RNAcentral